This 497-nucleotide ribosomal RNA is filed under the name uncultured bacterium. Its description in RNAcentral is "partial 16S ribosomal RNA". It matches the Rfam family "Bacterial small subunit ribosomal RNA", at positions 28 to 507 of the family's 1533-position model. The record is from RNAcentral.
GAUGAACGCUGGCGGCGUGCCUAAUACAUGCAAGUCGAGCGAACAGACGAGGAGCUUGCUCCUCUGACGUUAGCGGCGGACGGGUGAGUAACACGUGGAUAACCUACCUAUAAGACUGGGAUAACUUCGGGAAACCGGAGCUAAUACCGGAUAAUAUAUUGAACCGCAUGGUUCAAUAGUGAAAGACGGUUUUGCUGUCACUUAUAGAUGGAUCCGCGCCGAAUUAGCUAGUUGGUAAGGUAACGGCUUACCAAGGCAACGAUGCGUAGCCGACCUGAGAGGGUGAUCGGCCACACUGGAACUGAGACACGGUCCAGACUCCUACGGGAGGCAGCAGUAGGGAAUCUUCCGCAAUGGGCGAAAGCCUGACGGAGCAACGCCGCGUGAGUGAUGAAGGUCUUCGGAUCGUAAAACUCUGUUAUUAGGGAAGAACAAAUGUGUAAGUAACUAUGCACGUCUUGACGGUACCUAAUCAGAAAGCCACGGCUAACUACGUG